UUUUUUUUUUUUUUUUUUUUUUUUUUUUUUUGUUAAGCUUUUUUUGUUCUGUUUAUUCAGAACAGCUUUGGUGCUGUGAUUUUUGAGACAGAAUGCACAGGCAUGAGAUUUCCAUCCAGGUCUGCUGAAAAUAUGGGAGUAAAAUACAAGCUGCAAUAAGAAAAUAUUUAGACAUAUAAUGUUUACAUUACUUAUUUUGCCUGCAAUGGGAAAUAAAUAUACAGAAUCUUCUGCAUCACAGUGGAUAUGACAUCACAGAAGCAGCACCAUGUAAGAAAAGAAAUCUGAGGAUGUGGUGAGGAUUAAAUAGUAGGUAGAAGGCUUUUCAGAUUAAAAUAGCUACAUCAUAGUAGAACAUUCUUAUCUUCUAGAAAUAUAAUGUCAAGUGUAUCCAAACCCUACUCAUCUUCCCUCUGAAAUCCUACACCCAUCCUGCUUCAACUAAUAGUUUUCAGACAAUUAACAGAAAUACUGAGAAUAUGGAUGCCUCUUUUUCUUUUUCAUCACCUCUUAAAAGAGGAUUUAUCUCAUUAAAGUAUCUAUUAGGAGUCACGAGCACUACGACGCUGAAGAUAAGGAAAACAGCAAUUUAUUAGAGCACGCAUUUGAUUUUAUCCGUGAAAUGCUGGGAACCUCCCAGGAGAUGGCAGCAAAUGGCACUCCGGGGGUAGGAGCCUCGGGGCGAGCCUGCGAGAUGCUCAAACCAGCGCCCGACUCCCAAUUACACGGGGCUUAUCUUCUACCCAGCACGAACUCAACUCAUUAGUUUUGUUCUUUGCCGAGCAGCAGAGAGAACAAAGCCACAUGAGACUUUCACAAUGUUGCACUCAAUCGGUGUGUAACGUUGUAAAAACAUAGUAGCACUUUAAAGUAACUUGUCAUUUUCAUAAAAUUUAUAAUUACUCGAAUCAUUUAUUUCCCUCCAUGAAUGCUAUUAAAAAUAGUUUCACGGGGAGUACAAUUUGUUAUGAAAUGAAGGUCAAUCUCAUUAGAUCAGUGUAGCAGGGAUCCUAAUAACAUCCUGGCAGAAACGAGGUAUCUCAUUACAGACGCUGUAUUUUGUUUGAAAUAUUAGGUCGUCAUUAACUGAGCACUAAAAUACACAUAACAUUGGAUGACAUAAAUUAUUCCCCUGAAAAACUGCCACACAGUUUUUACCACAGAGGUGGUAGAACAACGAUGAGGGUACAACACAAAGCUUAAUAUUUUCUAUCUUUUCUAGCUGGAUUCACCUACUUAAUAUCAGUUUGGUUUGCUGCUGCUUCUGAGUACUGAGCCACAGUUGGGUUGCUAGAAUUAUACAGAGAGCUGGUUUCAGAGUAUGACACUGCAAACUUCAAUCAGUAAGAAAGAUGUUUGAUUUUCCUUGUAACAGUUGAGUAAGCCAUCAUCUAGGAAAUGUCAAAAUUUAAAAGGAAAAAAAAAUUUUAAACGAGAGAGUCCAGAAGUAAACAUUGCUUUUAGAAAUACAAGAGGAGUUACUUUCCCUAUAAUUAUCUUUACCCAUUUGGAAAGUACCAAUUGGUUUUUCUAGGCCUUUCAUUUUACUGGAAUCACAGCUGAAGGUAUGGAUGUGUUUAAAUGCUUCUCUGGAGCUGUAUCACAACACUUGGCACCUGGCAGGACCGUGCUGAGCAUCUGCUCCAUGCCAGUCAACAGCACCCAGAAAGGUAUCGCAGAUAUCCAUGGGAGGGAGCUCAGCAAAGCCUCACACCUCCAUGGAUCAACUAAAGGCUCCUAACACACCUGUGAGGCACAGCAGCAGCCUCAGGAAGCUCAACAGUCACAGGAGCCCUGCUUUCCAGAGGCUUCACCCCUCCAUGGGUCAACUGAAGGCUCCUAACACACCUGUGAGGCACAGCAGCAGCUUCAGGAAACUGCGAGAAAAGCAGAAAAAAAGGUUAUGCUGAUUUCCUAGCACCAUGAGGUGCAUGGAAAGGGUCUCCAUCCAUGGAGUGCAUCCUGUAACAGCAACACCCUCUUUUUCAGCAGAACAGGUUUAACUAUGGGUACUCUGCAGAGGUUGUGGUUAGAAGGUGUGUACAAACACACACACUCAACCUGGAGCAGCUCACAGCAGCUACAGACGGCACUGAGACAACACUUUGGUAAUGCUGUUUUGCAGAAGCAAAGGCAGCCCUGCUGGUUUGUGACUAUAGCUUGGGUUUUUUUAAAUUCACAACUGGAAGUUGGGAUUAAAAAAAAAAAAA
This is a long non-coding RNA of Taeniopygia guttata (zebra finch), 2210 nucleotides long. NCBI's taxonomy places the organism in Eukaryota, Metazoa, Chordata, Aves, Passeriformes, Estrildidae. The record is from Ensembl.